RNAcentral lists this ribosomal RNA (254 nucleotides) under uncultured bacterium. RNAcentral describes it as "partial 16S ribosomal RNA". It matches the Rfam family "Bacterial small subunit ribosomal RNA", at positions 261 to 507 of the family's 1533-position model. The record is from RNAcentral.
UGGCCCACCAAGGCGACGAUCCGUAGCUGGUCUGAGAGGAUGAUCAGCCACACUGGAACUGAGACACGGUCCAGACUCCUACGGGAGGCAGCAGUAGGGAAUAUUGGACAAUGGGCGCAAGCCUGAUCCAGCCAUGCCGCGUGAGUGAAGAAGGCCCUCGGGUUGUAAAGCUCUUUUGUCCGGAAAGAAAAGCGCCGGGUUAAUACCCUGGUGUCCUGACAGUACCGGAAGAAUAAGCACCGGCUAACCUCGUG